RNAcentral lists this long non-coding RNA (786 nucleotides) under Dasypus novemcinctus (nine-banded armadillo). RNAcentral's name for it is "lncRNA (ENSDNOG00000052749.1)". Lineage: Eukaryota; Metazoa; Chordata; Mammalia; Cingulata; Dasypodidae. The record is from RNAcentral.
AUGAAGAGGGACAGGGAAGAGGACAGUGAACAAACAGAGCUGUCAUAUGACCGGUAUCUCAAGUGGGAUGGAGGCCGAGGAUCAAGCUCCAAAUUUCUGGGACCAGGUGGACCUCAAAUUGAAAGCUCACAGCAUUCUCCUGAGUCAGGUGGACAGGGGUAUAAGAAGACUGACAUCUGGAUAGCUGAUGAUGCAGAUAUACGUUGCCUGAAGAGGCAUGUCCAAAGCAGACUGCUGUGGAAUGAACAAAAAUGUACCACGUACCGGGUUCCAAACCCACACUUGAAUUGGCUCAGGCUCCAACUUCAUCUCUCCUCCCCCACGCCCCUCACUUCUAUAUGUAGUAUGGUUGUGGACAGCAAGGAAACAGUAUCAACAGACAGAUGGAUUGGGACAAGGAGUUUGUAUUUUCUGAGUUUUCUGGCAAUAAAUGGACUGAUGGAAACUUUUGGCCUCUCUGGGAUCCUCAUAGGCCUGAAAGCCCACUAGGCCAUAUGGACUACAGUGUAUCAUCAUAGCCCAAAAGAGGAUGGAUGUCUUUACUGGAGCAACAAACAUUUACUCAGUGCCUACUGAGUGCCGAACAUCUUAUUUUAGAGGGAAGGAGCUGAAGGCACAGACAUGCUUUAGGGGAAACUAUGAUGCAUCGAGAAAGCUAAAUGUUAUUUUAAAAGAUUCAAAUUAUAUUCAAAGUUCUAAAAUGUUGUAUAUUAGUUUAAUUCCAUUAAUUAUGGAAAUAAAAACAUUACAUAAACUAAGAUGAGAAUAUUCUUGAAAUCCUUUCAU